Acanthopagrus latus (yellowfin seabream) is the source of this 549-nucleotide long non-coding RNA. RefSeq lists it as uncharacterized. The record is from RefSeq and is a predicted model, not a curated record. Lineage: Eukaryota; Metazoa; Chordata; Actinopteri; Spariformes; Sparidae. The transcript has 3 exons.
UGAAGCAUGGGUAGAGCUGAGAGGAGCUGGUUAAAGCCAGGAGAAUGUAAAACCUGCAGUAUUCACAAAGUAACAGAAAGUCCCUCCAUUCACGGCCAACUAAGAGAGAAGUACAGGACAUUUGCUGCUCCAAACUCACUUCUGUUGCCAUGCUGGAGCAGAGACGGUGGACCCAGAUGCACGAGGCAGCAGGCAGGAAGGGCAAUGGAUGAAGUUUUAAUAAGGAUCAUAAGGAACGGGCCAACACAAAGGAACAUCAGGGGAAAACAACAGAAGAAAAAGAGAAAACACAACCGCAGGAUCAGGGUCACUCAACCGAUGACUCGACAAAGACGAAACUAAAAACUGGACUUGAAUAUUAACUAAACUAACGAGGGGACAAGGUGCUGGUGGAGCGAGGCAGAGAAACACAGUGCCGUCAUAUCUCACCUUUUGAAAACUACGUUGUGCCUACACUGCUAGCAACGAAAGAGGCAUCUGCGUUCCUUUUAUUAAGCCAAAGUUCUGUAUUUUGCAUGCAGUUUGCUGUAAUGACUUCGCUUUAUUUUG